GAAAAUAUCUUUCAAGUUAGGUAGAUUCCGUGAUUACCUUGUUUUAUGCUAUGAAAACUAUUUGAUGCAUCCUAAAAAUAAAAUUAUCUAAGAGAGGAGGGAUUAGGGAGGCUCGUUGGCUUAGGACAAUUAUUAUUGCAAGUGAUAACUAUUCUUGCCUUCAAAUCCAAAUAAAACUAAAUCACAGAAAUAAAUACCAGAAACCCCACCAACUAUAAUUACUUUUCACUGUCAUAUUCAUACUAAUACUAUCAACGCCAAGAUCUCCCAUUUAAUAAAAGAAUAAUGCAAAAACUGACUGAGAUUAUUGUUAUUUCAUUUUGGUAAGCUCCCUACUGAAGGUAAACUGAAAAGAAAAGUAAAACAAGAUAUACUACUACUGUAAAGGGUUGCAUUCAUUUCAGCUCACAGUGACAACUCUGCUCUCCAAAAGUGCUAAGUUUUGGCAGCUCAAUCCAGCUUCACAGAAGAGAACAAGUAGUGCACAAAC
This 490-nucleotide unclassified non-coding RNA is filed under the name Hevea brasiliensis (rubber tree). The record is from RNAcentral. Lineage: Eukaryota; Viridiplantae; Streptophyta; Magnoliopsida; Malpighiales; Euphorbiaceae.